RNAcentral lists this ribosomal RNA (232 nucleotides) under uncultured bacterium. Its description in RNAcentral is "partial 16S ribosomal RNA". It matches the Rfam family "Bacterial small subunit ribosomal RNA", at positions 118 to 351 of the family's 1533-position model. The record is from RNAcentral.
UGAGUAACCUGCCCCAAACUUUGGGAUAACCCUCGGAAACGGGGGCUAAUACCGGGUAUGACUACGGAUCGCAUGGUCUGUGGUGGAAAGCUUUUGCGGUGUGGGAUGGGCCCGCGGCCUAUCAGCUUGUUGGUGGGGUGAUGGCCUACCAAGGCGACGACGGGUAGCCGGCCUGAGAGGGUGACCGGCCACACUGGGACUGAGACACGGCCCAGACUCCUACGGGAGGCAG